RNAcentral lists this ribosomal RNA (2206 nucleotides) under human gut metagenome. RNAcentral describes it as "bacterial LSU rRNA". It matches the Rfam family "Bacterial large subunit ribosomal RNA", at positions 428 to 2644 of the family's 2925-position model. The record is from RNAcentral.
GAAAUUCCGUCGGAAUCCGGGAGGACCAUCUCCCAAGGCUAAAUACUCCCUAGUGACCGAUAGUGAACCAGUACCGUGAGGGAAAGGUGAAAAGCACCCCGGAAGGGGAGUGAAACAGUUCCUGAAACCGUGUGCCUACAAUUAGUCAAAGCCCGUUAAUGGGUAAUGGCGUGCCUUUUGUAGAAUGAACCGGCGAGUUACGUUUGCUUGCGAGGUUAAGAUGAAAAGUCGGAGCCGUAGCGAAAGCGAGUCUGAACAGGGCGAAUGAGUAAGCAGAUGUAGACCCGAAACCAAGUGACCUACCCAUGACCAGGUUGAAGGUGUGGUGAAACACACUGGAGGACCGAACCCAUGUAUGUUGAAAAAUGCUGGGAUGAGUUGUGGGUAGCGGUGAAAUUCCAAACGAACUUGGAGAUAGCUGGUUCUCUCCGAAAUAGCUUUAGGGUUAGCCUCGGAGGAUGGAUCAUGGAGGUAGAGCACUGUUUGAACUAGGGGCCCAUCAAGGGUUACUGAAUUCAGAUAAACUCCGAAUACCAUCGAUCUUACUCCGGGAGUCAGACAGUGAGCGAUAAGGUCCAUUGUCGAAAGGGGAACAGCCCAGAUCACCAGUUAAGGUCCCUAAAUUUAUGCUAAGUGGAAAAGGAUGUGGCGUUGCACAGACAACUAGGAUGUUGGCUCAGAAGCAGCCACCAUUUAAAGAGUGCGUAAUAGCUCACUAGUCGAGUGGCACUGCGCCGAAAAUAUACCGGGGCUAAGCAUAAUACCGAAACUGUGGGUGCACCCGUAAGGGUGCGCGGUAGGAGAGCGUUCUAAGGGCGUUGAAGGUCGAUCGUGAGGACGGCUGGAGCGCUUAGAAGUGAGAAUGCCGGCAUGAGUAGCGAAAGAUCAGUGAGAAUCUGAUCCACCGUAUGACUAAGGUUUCCUGGGGAAGGCUCGUCCUCCCAGGGUUAGUCGGGAUCUAAGGCGAGGCCGAGAGGCGUAGUCGAUGACAAGCAGGUUGAGAUUCCUGCACUAGUUUAUUUUGUUUAAGCGAUGGAGGGACGCAGGAGGCUAAGGAAAGCGCACGGCUGGAAAUGUGCGCCCAAGCAGCAAGUCUGACAGCGAGUGAAAUGCUUGCAGUCUUAAGGACAAGCUGUGAUGGGGAGCGAAAUUAUAGUAGCGAAGUUCCUGAUGUCACACUGCCAAGAAAAGCUUCUAGUGAGAAAUAAACUACCCGUACCGCAAACCGACACAGGUAGUCGAGGAGAGUAUCCUCAGGUGAGCGAGCGAACUCUCGUUAAGGAACUCGGCAAAAUGACCCCGUAACUUCGGAAGAAGGGGUGCUGACCGCAAGGUCAGCCGCAGUGAAUAGGCCCAAACAACUGUUUAUCAAAAACACAGGUCUCUGCUAAAUCGUAAGAUGAUGUAUAGGGGCUGACGCCUGCCCGGUGCUGGAAGGUUAAGAGGAUGAGUUAGCGCAAGCGAAGCCCAGAAUUGAAGCCCCAGUAAACGGCGGCCGUAACUAUAACGGUCCUAAGGUAGCGAAAUUCCUUGUCGGGUAAGUUCCGACCCGCACGAAAGGCGUAAUGAUUUGAGCGCUGUCUCGACAAUGCAUCCGGUGAAAUUGAAGUACCAGUGAAGAUGCUGGUUACCUGCGCCAGGACGGAAAGACCCCAUGGAGCUUUACUCCAGUCUGGUACUGGGACUCGGUAUUGCAUGUACAGGAUAGGUGGGAGGCUAGGAGAUGGUAACGCCAGUUGCCAUGGAGCCGCUGUUGGGAUACCACCCUUGCAGUAUUGGGUUUCUAACCAGCCGCCGUGACCCGGCGGUGGGACAAUGCCAGACGGGGAGUUUGACUGGGGCGGUCGCCUCCGAAAGGGUAUCGGAGGCGCCCAAAGGUUCCCUCAGAAUGGACGGAAACCAUUCGAAGAGUGCAAAGGCAGAAGGGAGCUUGACUGCGACACCGACGGGUGGAGCAGGUACGAAAGUAGGGCUUAGUGAUCCGGUGGUAUUAAGUGGGAAUGCCAUCGCUCAACGGAUAAAAGCUACCCUGGGGAUAACAGGCUUAUCACUCCCAAGAGUUCACAUCGACGGAGUGGUUUGGCACCUCGAUGUCGGCUCAUCGCAUCCUGGGGCUGUAGUAGGUCCCAAGGGUUGGGCUGUUCGCCCAUUAAAGCGGUACGCGAGCUGGGUUCAGAACGUCGUGAGACAGUUCGGUCCCUAUCCG